Molecule: ribosomal RNA, 423 nt
Filed under: uncultured bacterium
Lineage: Bacteria
Description: bacterial SSU rRNA
Rfam family: Bacterial small subunit ribosomal RNA
Source: RNAcentral
UGAGGAAUAUUGGUCAAUGGGCGGAAGCCUGAACCAGCCAUGCCGCGUGCGGGAAGAAGGCCCUACGGGUUGUAAACCGCUUUUCCCCGGGAAGAAUAACCCCGACGCGUCGGGGGAUGCCGGUACCGGGGGAAUAAGGAUCGGCUAACUCCGUGCCAGCAGCCGCGGUAAUACGGAGGAUCCGAGCGUUAUCCGGAUUUACUGGGUUUAAAGGGUGCGUAGGCGGCCCUGCAAGUCAGCGGUGAAAUGUGGCGGCUCAACCGUUUCGCUGCCGGUGAUACUGUAGGGCUUGGAUGCGGUCGAGGCGGGUGGAAUUCGUGGUGUAGCGGUGAAAUGCAUAGAUAUCACGAGGAACGCCGAUAGCGAAGGCAGCUCGCCGGGCCGCGAUCGACGCUGAGGCACGAAAGCGUGGGGAUCAAACAG